Molecule: long non-coding RNA, 891 nt
Filed under: Nicotiana benthamiana
Lineage: Eukaryota; Viridiplantae; Streptophyta; Magnoliopsida; Solanales; Solanaceae
Description: long non-coding RNA (NBEN_LNC013444)
Source: RNAcentral
AGGGAAAUUAAAAUAAGAGGAAGUUUGUAUUAAAAGUGCUUAGACAGGUUAGUCACUAUAUCCAAAUAUAUCAUACUCGUCUCUUAGCCUACAUUACAACCAAAUAAAGUUCUCUUAAUCUUUGACUGAACAUCUCGAUUGGUAGAGUAUUACACUAGGGGCAAGCUUAUGGUGUAUCUGUGUGGCAUGUAAAUGUUCUUUGCUGAGAUUGAGUGAAUUUUGUCUAUAUAUGGUUCCUUGUUGCUUGAUUUUAUGUGUGUGGAACGUCUCUCAGAAUUGUGAUGUGAGGGCAUAUGACCCUGGAAGAAAAAGUGACUUUUCACCCCUGUUAGAGUAACUAGAGUGAGCAGAAGUGUGUCAUGGCAUUAGAGUCUUCAUCUGAGGAGUAAUUGUUGCACUGCUUAGGUUGUUCUUUCAUAAUGGCGGGUGUAACAUAAAUUUGGGUAAUGCAUCUAACGGUUAUGCCUAGAAGUGUGGUUUAACUUGCUCGAGGACGAGUAAAGGCUUAAGUGUGAGGUAAUAUGUGAAUUUAAAUUAGGCCCAAAAUAACCACCUUCUUGUAUAGUUUGGAUGAUAAAAGUGAUAACAAAAUGCUCUGAUUAGAGCUUUUCAUGCUUUGCAGGUGAUAUAUGAUAAGAGAAGGCUAUGGAGUACUUUUGGGAUCAAAUAUGGAGAAAAAGAGGCCAAUCGUAAAAUUUUGCCAAGUGAACCACACGAAGCAGCUCAAACCAAGCCUGAAGAAGGACUGCCGCGGUUCCACAACGACCGCAGCAGAACCGCGGUAGAAGAUUGUCGCGGACAAGUUGAGAUUCAGAGAAGGUGUUUGGCCGCGGUUUGAUCGCAACCGCGGCAGAGGCAGAAAUGUUCAGGUACUUAAGUGCAAAACACGGG